This 234-nucleotide unclassified non-coding RNA is filed under the name Hevea brasiliensis (rubber tree). Lineage: Eukaryota; Viridiplantae; Streptophyta; Magnoliopsida; Malpighiales; Euphorbiaceae. The record is from RNAcentral.
GAUUCAUUCUCAUGGUGAACAAGCAAGGCCAAACCCGCCUCGCUCAGUAUUACGAAAAUCUUACUCUCGAAGAACGUCGAGCUCUUGAGGGUGAAAUCGUUCGCAAAUGCCUCGCUCGUAACGAACAACAGUGUUCCUUUGUCGAGCAUCGCAACUAUAAGAUUGUAUAUAGGCGAUAUGCAUCUCUGUUUUUUCUGGUUGGAGUUGACAAUGAUGAAAAUGAACUGGCAAUUU